RNA transcript from Ochotona princeps (American pika), 1338 nucleotides. It is a transcript of the gene named eukaryotic initiation factor 4A-II-like, with no coding region annotated. Lineage: Eukaryota; Metazoa; Chordata; Mammalia; Lagomorpha; Ochotonidae. The record is from RefSeq and is a predicted model, not a curated record. The transcript has a single exon.
UCAGUCGGGCGCUGAGGGGCUCUUCUGACAUGUCUGGUGGCUCUGCGGAUUAUAACAGAGAACAUGGCGGCCCAGAGGGAAUGGACCCCGAUGGUGUUAUCGAGAGCAACUGGAAUGAAAUUGUUGAUAACUUUGAUGAUAUGAAUUUAAAGGAGUCUCUUCUUCGGGGCAUCUAUGCUUACGGUUUUGAGAAGCCUUCAGCUAUUCAGCAAAGAGCUAUUAUUCCUUGCAUUAAAGGGUAUGAUGUGAUUGCUCAAGCUCAGUCAGGUACUGGCAAGACAGCCACAUUUGCUAUUUCCAUCCUGCAACAGUUGGAGAUUGAGUUCAAGGAGACCCAAGCACUAGUAUUGGCCCCCACCAGAGAACUGGCUCAACAGCAGGAAAGAAGUUAAGAGAACUUUGUUUUCUGUGGCAGCUCCAAAAUGGAUCAAAAUGUUCGUUUUGGAUGAAGCAGAUGAAAUGCUGAGCCGGGGGUUUAAGGAUCAAAUUUAUGAAAUUUUCCAAAAACUAAAUACUAGUAUUCAGGUUGUGCUGCUGUCUGCCACAACGCCAACUGAUGUUUUAGAAGUAACCAAAAAAUUCAUGAGAGAUCCAACUCGGAUUCUGGUGGAAAAAGGAGAAAUUGACCCUUGAAGGAAUCAAACAGUUCUACGUCAAUGUUGAACGAGAGGAAUGGAAGUUGGAUACACUUUGUGACUUGUAUGAAACAUUGACCAUUAUGCAGGCUGUUAUUUUUCUCAAUACAAGGCAUAAAGUGGACUGACUCACUGAGAAAAUGCAUGCCAGGGACUUCACAGUUUCUGCUCUGCAUGGUGACAUGGACCAGAAGGAAAGAGAUGUCAUCAUGAGAGAAUUCCGAUCAGGCUCAAGCCGUGUUCUGAUCACUACUGACUUGUUGGCUCGUGGGAUUGAUGUACAACAAGUAUCUUUGGUCAUAAACUAUUAUCUACCUACCAAUCGUGAAAACUAUAUUCACAGAAUUGGCAGAGGGGGUCGAUUUGGGAGGAAAGGUGUGGCUAUAAACUUUGUUACUGAAGAAGACAAGAGGAUUCUUCGUGACAUUGAGACUUUCUACAACACUACAGUGGAGGAGAUGCCCAUGAAUGUGGCUGACCUUAUUUAAUUCCUGGGAUGAGAUAGUUUGAAUGCUGUGCUCGCUGUUGCCGAAUAGGCGAUCACAACGUGGCAUUGUGCUUCUUUCUUUGGGAAUAUUUGAAUCUUGUCUCAAUGCUCAUAACGGAUCAGAAAUACAGAUUUUGAUAGCAAAGCGACAUUAGUCGUGAGCUCUUGUGAGGAGGAAGGUCACUGGCUUUUUCCUCUAGAGUUAGACUGUUGGGG